Molecule: transfer RNA, 77 nt
Filed under: Fonsecaea multimorphosa CBS 102226
Lineage: Eukaryota; Fungi; Ascomycota; Eurotiomycetes; Chaetothyriales; Herpotrichiellaceae
Description: tRNA-Arg (TCT) (tRNA-Arg-TCT-1-1)
Rfam family: tRNA
About the family: Transfer RNA (tRNA) molecules are approximately 80 nucleotides in length. Their secondary structure includes four short double-helical elements and three loops (D, anti-codon, and T loops). Further hydrogen bonds mediate the characteristic L-shaped molecular structure. tRNAs have two regions of fundamental functional importance: the anti-codon, which is responsible for specific mRNA codon recognition, and the 3' end, to which the tRNAs corresponding amino acid is attached (by aminoacyl-tRNA synthetases). tRNAs cope with the degeneracy of the genetic code in two manners: having more than one tRNA (with a specific anti-codon) for a particular amino acid; and 'wobble' base-pairing, i.e. permitting non-standard base-pairing at the 3rd anti-codon position.
Source: RNAcentral
GCUCCGCUGGCGCAAUGGUAGCGCGCCAGACUUCUAAUAUGGACCGUUAGCUGUGUGUUCGAGUCCCACGCGGAGUG